AUACGUAGGGGGCGAGCGUUGUCCGGAAUGAUUGGGCGUAAAGGGCGCGUAGGCGGCCCGGUAAGUCUGGAGUGAAAGUCCUGUUUUUAAGAUGGGAAUUGCUUUGGAUACUGUCGGGCUUGAGUGCAGGAGAGGUAAGUGGAAUUCCCAGUGUAGCGGUGAAAUGCGUAGAGAUUGGGAGGAACACCAGUGGCGAAGGCGACUUACUGGACUGUAACUGACGCUGAGGCGCGAAAGUGUGGGGAGCAAACAGGAUUAGAUACCCUGGUAGUCCACACUGUAAACGAUGAAUGCUAGGUGUAGGGGGUAUCGACCCCUUCUGUGCCGCAGUCAACACGAUAAGCAUUCCGCCUGGGGAGUACGGCCGCAAGGUUGAAACUCAAAUGAAUUGACGGGG
RNAcentral lists this ribosomal RNA (397 nucleotides) under uncultured bacterium. RNAcentral describes it as "partial 16S ribosomal RNA". It matches the Rfam family "Bacterial small subunit ribosomal RNA", at positions 523 to 918 of the family's 1533-position model. The record is from RNAcentral.